GGCAAGGUGGCCGAGUGGUUAAGGCGGCAGAUUUAAGCAGCGCUACUGUUCACAGUUGGCGUGAAAAACCCUGCUUCGUAAUGAGUCCAGGGUUCGAACCCCUGCCUUGUCA
This is a non-coding RNA of Aspergillus campestris IBT 28561, 112 nucleotides long. NCBI's taxonomy places the organism in Eukaryota, Fungi, Ascomycota, Eurotiomycetes, Eurotiales, Aspergillaceae. The record is from the annotation of a RefSeq genome assembly.